RNAcentral lists this ribosomal RNA (851 nucleotides) under Myriostigma candidum. RNAcentral describes it as "LSU rRNA". It matches the Rfam family "Eukaryotic large subunit ribosomal RNA", at positions 72 to 943 of the family's 3401-position model. Lineage: Eukaryota; Fungi; Ascomycota; Arthoniomycetes; Arthoniales; Arthoniaceae. The record is from RNAcentral.
GGAUGGCCCCAGUAACGGCGAGUGAAGCGGCCCCAGCCCAAAUUUGAAAUCCGGCGCCCGCGGCGCCCGAGUUGUAAUUUGUAGAGGAUGCUUCGGCGGCGGCCCCGGGGCAAGUUCCCUGGAACCGGAUGCCGCAGAGGGUGAGAGCCCCGUACCCGCCCGGGCCCCCGCCGCCAGACGAAGCGCCUUCGACGAGUCGCGUUGUUUGGGAAUGCAGCGCCAAGCGGGAGGUAAAUUCCUUCCAAGGCUAAAUACCGGCCAGAGACCGAUAGCGCACAAGUAGAGUGAUCGAAAGAUGAAAAGCACUUUGGAAAGAGAGUCAAACAGCACGUGAAAUUGUUGAAAGGGAAGCUCUUGCUGCCAGACGUGCCGCGGGCGUCCAGCGGUCCCCCGGGGCCGCGUACGCGCCCGCGGCGGGCCAGCGUCGGUCGGGGCGGUCGGAUAAAGGCCCGGGGAACGUAGCCCGCCUCGGCGGGUGUUACAGCCCCGCGGCGACAUGCGGCCCGCCCCGACCGAGGCCCGCGUUCGCUCGGACGCUGGCGUAAUGGUCGCAAGCGACCCGUCUUGAAACACGGACCAAGGAGUCUAACAUCUGUGCGAGUGUUCGGGCGUCAAACCCGGGCGCGGAAUGAAAGUGAACGGAGGCGGGACGCCGCGAGGCCGCACCGUCGACCGAUCCUGAUGUCCUCGGAUGGAUUUGAGUAGGAGCAUGGCUGUUGGGACCCGAAAGAUGGUGAACUAUGCGUGUCUAGGGUGAAGCCAGAGGAAACUCUGGUGGAGGCUCGCAGCGGUUCUGACGUGCAAAUCGAUCGUCAAAGAUGCGUAUAGGGGCGAAAGACCAAUCGAACCAU